Molecule: ribosomal RNA, 355 nt
Filed under: Ablepharus chernovi (Chernov's skink)
Lineage: Eukaryota; Metazoa; Chordata; Lepidosauria; Squamata; Scincidae
Description: partial small subunit ribosomal RNA
Rfam family: Bacterial small subunit ribosomal RNA
Source: RNAcentral
CGCCAGAGAACUACGAGCGAAAAACUUAAAACUCCAAGGACUUGGCGGUGCCCCAUAUCAACCUAGAGGAGCCUGUCCUAUAAUCGAUAAUCCACGCUCUACCUUACCCCCCCUUGAAAUACAGCCUAUAUACCGCCGUCGCCAGCCCACCUUAUGAAAGAAAUUCAGUGAGCACAAUAAUUAACAACUAAUACGUCAGGUCAAGGUGUAGCAUACGGAGGGGUAGAGAUGGGCUACAUUUCCUCCAACAGGAAACACGCACGGCAUACUGAAAUAUAUACCCCAAGGCGGAUUUAGCAGUAAGACAAACCAAGAUACCUGUCUCAAACUUGCUCUGGGGCGCGCACACACCGCC